RNAcentral lists this ribosomal RNA (490 nucleotides) under uncultured bacterium. RNAcentral describes it as "partial 16S ribosomal RNA". It matches the Rfam family "Bacterial small subunit ribosomal RNA", at positions 30 to 507 of the family's 1533-position model. The record is from RNAcentral.
AUUGAACGCUGGCGGCAGGCCUAACACAUGCAAGUCGAACGGUAACAGAAAGCAGCUUGCUGCUUUGCUGACGAGUGGCGGACGGGUGAGUAAUGUCUGGGAAACUGCCUGAUGGAGGGGGAUAACUACUGGAAACGGUAGCUAAUACCGUAUAACGUCGCAAGACCAGAGAGGGGGACCUUCGGGCCUCUUGCCAUCGGAUGUGCCCAGAUGGGAUUAGCUAGUAGGUGGGGUAAAGGCUCACCUAGGCGACGAUCCCUAGCUGGUCUGAGAGGAUGACCAGCCACACUGGAACUGAGACACGGUCCAGACUCCUACGGGAGGCAGCAGUGGGGAAUAUUGCACAAUGGGCGCAAGCCUGAUGCAGCCAUGCCGCGUGUAUGAAGAAGGCCUUCGGGUUGUAAAGUACUUUCAGCGGGGAGGAAGGGAGUAAAGUUAAUACCUUUGCUCAUUGACGUUACCCGCAGAAGAAGCACCGGCUAACUCCGUG